This 233-nucleotide long non-coding RNA is filed under the name Eucalyptus grandis. RNAcentral's name for it is "long non-coding RNA (EGRA_LNC004901)". Lineage: Eukaryota; Viridiplantae; Streptophyta; Magnoliopsida; Myrtales; Myrtaceae. The record is from RNAcentral.
GGGGAACCAUAAUCAUCACGUGGUAAGUGUGCAAUUAAGGGCAAUCGUAUCCGAGGAUAAUUAGAACCCUAAGGUGAAGUCGUGCGGGCUUGUUCAAUUUUGAGCACAAUCUCAAGCCAAUGAUUUACCCACAUAUUUUAAGAGAAAAUUGGUACAAGAAUUAUUUCAAAGCUUUUCAGGGAACUCUAAAACAAGUUUGGAAUUUUUGGGAUUUUUGUAUUUUUUUAAUAUUU